Molecule: long non-coding RNA, 504 nt
Filed under: Pelobates cultripes (western spadefoot toad)
Lineage: Eukaryota; Metazoa; Chordata; Amphibia; Anura; Pelobatidae
Source: RNAcentral
CCUGUAUCCAGCUGCCGCUCUCAUACGGCUAAUUGAAGUGCUUUGUAUAUAAGCGGGACAGUUACAUUCAGCUACCAGCCUCUGAUGAACUGAACUUGAAUCACGAAACACGUACAGCUUUACGGCAACCGCUAUUUUCUGGUUGGAGUGGAAUGCAGGCUUGGGACUAAUUGGAACGCAUGCCAUGAGCAGCAACACCGAUCUCGGCAGAUUACCUCCUCUCAGCCGGCCAGAGGGAGGAUUUCAUCUAACCACCGUGUCUCCAUAUCCUGCAGCCACAAAUUUUUCCAGAUAUGCCCGUUUGACUUGAAUUUCUGUGAGUGUUUCUAUUCUUUUCUACAAUAAACCGAUUGUUUUAUAGAGAGCACUAUGGCUUCUCCAUUUAUUUUUCAGAAUACAGUGAAGAUCCAGCCAGUUUAGAUCUAUUACUGUGAUCUAUAAGUGAUAACAUUUAUAUUUUUUCUACAGCUGUUCCAGCAAGAUACAACCAUUUGAGAACUGGAC